UCCCCCCCCACUCCGAUGAAGAUGACGGGUGGAACUUAAGCAUAUCAGUACGCCCAGGAGAAGACACCAACCGGGAUUCCUUGAUUAGCGGCGAGCGAUCCAGGAGUAGUCCGACCUCGAAGCGAUGAGCGUUGUGAGGACUGGGGGGAUGUCCUAAACCCGAAGAUGGGUUGAAACCCACACCAAGGAGGGUGCCAGUCCCGUAGGGAUGGACACAACCCCAACGACGAGUACCUCUGCUUGAGAGUGUAGAGGGAAGAGGAGGUGGUACCCUUCUAAGGCUAAAUACCGCCCCGAGACCGAUAGAGGACCAAGUAGUGCGAACGAAAGGUGAGAAGGAUGCCGACCCAGGCACGUCAAAAGACCCUGAACCCGGGAGGCGACUCCCGACCUGUCGAUGAUCGAUUGGUCGGGCCCGUCUCGAAACACGGACCGAGGAGUUAGGACCGAUCGCGAGUCAUGUGGCAAAGGGAAGUCAAGACUUCAAGGGCCCCUUACAAGGGCAGAGCGAUCGGUCCUAGACCCGAAAGGUGGUGAUCUACACUUGACCAGGGUGAAGCCAGACGAAAGCCUGGUGGAGGCCCAUCCCGGUGCUGACGUGCAAAUCGCUCGGUCGAGUUGGAGUGUAGGGCGAAAGACUCAUCGAACCACCUGGUAGCUGGUUACCUCCGAAAUGUCUCCCAGGAUAGCCGACAUCAUGAACAGCUGCCCUAGGUAAGGCCACGAUCGGUGGGAGUAGGGAGGUCACUCCUUAUCCACCCCUCGAACCAUGAACAAGGGUGGAGCGGGGCCAACUUGUGUGGGCCCCCUCAACAGUGUUGAUGUCGAGUGGGCCUCUCCUGGUAAGCAGGACGGGCAAGACGGGAUGAACCGACAGUCGGGGGAAGGUGUGGAAGUGUAUGCUCGAUCAAACGGUGUCCGUCGAUCGUGACAGCUGGAAGGUGGCCUUAACAGUAGGAAGCCUCUAAGGAGUGUGUAACAACCCACCAGCCGAAUCGAGGGGCCCGGAAAAUGGAACACGCCGAAGCAUACGAUCGGAACCCGACCGAGAUGUGUCUCGGGUAGGAGGUCGUCAUGAUCGAGUCGAAGCCAUGGGGUGACACGUGGUGGAUCGAGUCAUGAUUGCUGAUCUCGGUAGUAGUAGCCAUUACUCCAUCUGGAGGCCUGACGUGGAGAUGGGUUCCGUAUCCCUGUCGAUCAGAUACGGGUGACACGAUCCUAAGUCCGAUGGUGUACGCCGUACCAUGGGGUCAUCCUCACAGGACGAUAGGGCUGACCGGUUAACAUCCCGGUGGUAUGAUGGGGUCUUGGUGACAUCCUUU
This 1322-nucleotide ribosomal RNA is filed under the name Giardia muris. RNAcentral describes it as "partial 28S ribosomal RNA". It matches the Rfam family "Eukaryotic large subunit ribosomal RNA", at positions 1 to 1653 of the family's 3401-position model. The record is from RNAcentral. Lineage: Eukaryota; Fornicata; Diplomonadida; Hexamitidae.